AUGUCUUCAUCCUCCGGCGCGGCUCAACCUAGCCUCAAUGGCCAGGUCACCGAAAAGCUCAACUGCACGAACUACGUGCUAUGGCGCACGCAGGUCACACCCCACCUGCGGGGCGCCGGUGUCUUCGGCUACGUCAAUGGCACCGUGCCCGAGCCGGCCAAACUCCACGUCACCAAGGACAAGGAUGGCAAGGAGACUUCUGCGCCCAACCAUCUCCACCCACUUUGGGUCCGGGAGGAUCAACAGGUGCUUGGCUAUUUGCUGAGUACCCUCUCCAAGGAGGUGCUGGUCGCGGUCACCGCGAUCACCACGACGCGCGAACUCUGGGUGGCACUGGCGGGCAUGUUCUCAUCCCAGUCACUCAGCCGCAUCAAAAACAUCAGGAAUGCGCUCAUCAACGCGCAGAAGGGCAACCAAUCGGUCGCCUCCUACUUCGCCUCCCUGCGCGGCCUUGCUGAUGAACUCGCCACCGCCAACAAGCCUAUCCAGGAUGACAAAUUGAUCUCAUACAUCCUCCAUGGCCUGGACGUCGACUACCAGCCGCUCGUCUCUGCCCUUGACGCCUGCGUCACACCCGUCACCCUCGACGAGCUCUAUGCCAUGCUGAGUAACUUUGAUCAGCGCAUGACCCAGUUCCAUGGCUCUUCCGGCGGCUUCAAGUCCUCUGCCAACGCCGCAUCUCGCGGCCGUGGUGGCGUCCCUCGCUCGCGUUGA
RNAcentral lists this ribosomal RNA (714 nucleotides) under Triticum aestivum (bread wheat). Its description in RNAcentral is "partial small subunit ribosomal RNA". The stretch from base 481 to 619 matches the Rfam family "Small nucleolar RNA Z247". Lineage: Eukaryota; Viridiplantae; Streptophyta; Magnoliopsida; Poales; Poaceae. The record is from RNAcentral.